CGCUCAGCUCUCUAAAUUGACUCAGGUCCAGGGGCUGAUCUGAAUGCACUACAACAGAGGAUUCACUAUCUCAUGGCUUCCUGUUAGUUUCAACCUAAGAGAUCCAAGAGUGGUCCUGAGACAAUGAGUGGCUGGUGCAAGAGUAUGAAAGCCCAACUCCCUCGCUCCAUCUUAGGACAAUUUCUGAGCUCCUGAUUUUCUGUGUUCCUGAUUUUCCCUGUGGGGUCAACUGAUAUUAUUCUGCACAGAGGAUUCAGUACAAAAAAACGUGUGGCUACCUUCUUCAAAAAGCAGGAACAAAGUGCUAUUAGAGGACUAAAGAACUUACUUCUCAGCUUCUGGGAAUGCUGACAG
This 354-nucleotide long non-coding RNA is filed under the name Homo sapiens (human). Its description in RNAcentral is "HSALNT0329139". The record is from RNAcentral. Lineage: Eukaryota; Metazoa; Chordata; Mammalia; Primates; Hominidae.